This 372-nucleotide ribosomal RNA is filed under the name Klebsiella pneumoniae. Its description in RNAcentral is "bacterial LSU rRNA". It matches the Rfam family "Bacterial large subunit ribosomal RNA", at positions 2571 to 2925 of the family's 2925-position model. Lineage: Bacteria; Pseudomonadati; Pseudomonadota; Gammaproteobacteria; Enterobacterales; Enterobacteriaceae. The record is from RNAcentral.
GUAUGGCUGUUCGCCAUUUAAAGUGGUACGCGAGCUGGGUUUAGAACGUCGUGAGACAGUUCGGUCCCUAUCUGCCGUGGGCGCUGGAGAAUUGAGGGGGGCUGCUCCUAGUACGAGAGGACCGGAGUGGACGCAUCACUGGUGUUCGGGUUGUCAUGCCAAUGGCACUGCCCGGUAGCUAAAUGCGGAAGAGAUAAGUGCUGAAAGCAUCUAAGCACGAAACUUGCCCCGAGAUGAGUUCUCCCUGAGACUUUAAGUCUCCUGAAGGAACGUUAAAGACGAUGACGUUGAUAGGCCGGGUGUGUAAGCGCAGCGAUGCGUUGAGCUAACCGGUACUAAUGAACCGUGAGGCUUAACCUUACAACGCCGAAG